GAUGAACGCUGGCGGCGUGCCUAAUACAUGCAAGUCGAGCGAACGGACGAGAAGCUUGCUUUUCUGAUGUUAGCGGCGGACGGGUGAGUAACACGUGGAUAACCUACCUAUAAGACUGGGAUAACUUCGGGAAACCGGAGCUAAUACCGGAUAAUAUUUUGAACCGCAUGUUUCAAAAGUGAAAUACGGUCUUGCUGUCACUUAUAGAUGGAUCCGCGCUGCAUUAUCUAGUUGGUAAGGUAACGGCUUACCAAGGCAACGAUGCAUAGCCGACCUGAGAGGGUGAUCGGCCACACUGGAACUGAGACACGGUCCAGACUCCUACGGGAGGCAGCAGUAGGGAAUCUUCCGCAGUGGGCGAAAGCCUGACGGAGCAACGCCGCGUGAGUGAUGAAGGUCUUCGGAUCGUAAAACUCUGUUAUUAGGGAAGAACAUAUGUGUAAGUAACUGUGCAAAUCUUGACGGUACCGAAUCAGAAAGCCACGGCUAACUACGU
RNAcentral lists this ribosomal RNA (496 nucleotides) under uncultured bacterium. RNAcentral describes it as "partial 16S ribosomal RNA". It matches the Rfam family "Bacterial small subunit ribosomal RNA", at positions 28 to 506 of the family's 1533-position model. The record is from RNAcentral.